Molecule: ribosomal RNA, 1067 nt
Filed under: Nocardiopsis sp. HSMR-R1
Lineage: Bacteria; Bacillati; Actinomycetota; Actinomycetes; Streptosporangiales; Nocardiopsidaceae
Description: bacterial SSU rRNA
Rfam family: Bacterial small subunit ribosomal RNA
Source: RNAcentral
GCCCUUCGGGGUACACGAGCGGCGAACGGGUGAGUAACACGUGAGCAACCUGCCCCCGACUCCGGGAUAAGCGGUGGAAACGCCGUCUAAUACCGGAUACGACCGGCCACCUCAUGGUGGCGGGUGGAAAGUUUUUCGGUUGGGGAUGGGCUCGCGGCCUAUCAGCUAGUUGGUGGGGUAAAGGCCUACCAAGGCGAUUACGGGUAGCCGGCCUGAGAGGGCGACCGGCCACACUGGGACUGAGACACGGCCCAGACUCCUGCGGGAGGCAGCAGUGGGGAAUAUUGCGCAAUGGGCGAAAGCCUGACGCAGCGACGCCCGCGUGGGGGAUGACGGCCUUUCGGGUUGUAAACCUCUUUUACCACCAACGCAGGCUCCCAGUUCUCUGGGGGUUGACGGUAGGUGGGGAAUAAGGACCGGCUAACUACGUGCCAGCAGCCGCGGUAAUACGUAGGGUCCGAGCGUUGUCCGGAAUUAUUGGGCGUAAAGAGCUCGUAGGCGGCGUGUCGCGUCUGCUGUGAAAGACCGGGGCUUAACUCCGGUUCUGCAGUGGAUACGGGCAUGCUAGAGGUAGGUAGGGGAGACUGGAAUUCCUGGUGUAGCGGUGAAAUGCGCAGAUAUCAGGAGGAACACCGGUGGCGAAGGCGGGUCUCUGGGCCUUACCUGACGCUGAGGAGCGAAAGCAUGGGGAGCGAACAGGAUUAGAUACCCUGGUAGUCCAUGCCGUAAACGUUGGGCGCUAGGUGUGGGGACUUUCCACGGUUUCCGCGCCGUAGCUAACGCAUUAAGCGCCCCGCCUGGGGAGUACGGCCGCAAGGCUAAAACUCAAAGGAAUUGACGGGGGCCCGCACAAGCGGCGGAGCAUGUUGCUUAAUUCGACGCAACGCGAAGAACCUUUACCAAGGUUUGACAUCACCCGUGGACCUGCAGAGAUGUGGGGUCAUUUAGUUGGUGGGUGACAGGUGGUGCAUGGCUGUCGUCAGCUCGUGUCGUGAGAUGUUGGGUUAAGUCCCGCAACGAGCGCAACCCUUAUUUCCAUGUUGCCAGCACGUAAUUGGUGGGGGACU